Molecule: long non-coding RNA, 1930 nt
Organism: Anopheles aquasalis
Lineage: Eukaryota; Metazoa; Arthropoda; Insecta; Diptera; Culicidae
Source: RefSeq, a predicted model, not a curated record
GUGAGUAAAAUAGUCAUUUUCUUGUUUGUUAGACUAAGGUGCUUAUUCUGUACCAGGCGAUUUCGAUGGCCUCUAGGCGUUCGAUGAUUCAUGCGAAUUUCGAAACUUCAACUCGUUGUUUCGAAACGUUUCGUAAACAAUAAACAAUUCAAAAUGACAGUUUGAAGUAAAAAAACUGUGAAUUAACUUGAAUUUUUCUGUAUCAAAAACGAGUUAACCUUUGUAAUAAUAGUAUACGAUAAGCAGGAAGAAAUUAUUAAUGCAUAAUCAGGCCGUUUCAGAUCAAACCGUUCGAAGUCGAUGCUCGAUGUAAACAAAACGCCAGCUGUCGAUCACAAAAAUGCACUCGACAGUAGGAGAUCGUGAACACCACAAUGAACACAAAAUGAACCAAAUGAAUCAUCGCCUAGAGGCCAUCGAAAUCGCCUGGUACAGAAUAAGCACCUAGGGUGCCCAUUCUCCCAGUCUACGCCUGCAUUUUCUAGGCGUAAUUCAUUUGGUUCAUGUUUGUGUUCAUUUUGGUGUUCAUCUACGACUACUUGCGUGAGCAUUUUUGUGAUCGACAGCAGGCGUUUUGUUUACAUCGAUCAUCGAUCUGAACGGUUUAAGAAGUUUCGAAAAUCGAGCAAACAAUCGACGAACCCUAGAGGUGUCACGACUAGGAGGCGUAGAGAAUUGGAGAAUAAGCCAAAGUGUCUAUAGGAAACAGGUAAAGUCAUACCGAACAAAAUCGCUCGCGACGAUUAGAAAAAUGAAUGAAAAAACUGACAGUUCGUGUCUAUGUUUUGAUUGCGUUGGACACGCUGUAUUGGCUUUGAGAUGUAAGAAAUCCGUAAAGAAAGUUCAAGGAACUGCUCGUUUGAUCUAAAAUUAAGAAAUGUGUCAUUUAAACAGGCAAAAGUACAUAAUAUGCCUGAUAAAACCAUUAGGUAGGAAUACACGAAGCGUAAACUCUCGUAUAAACUCAGAGUGUAAUGCCAAAAAGAUUAUACUUAUGUCAAAAAGAUUAUAGGCCCGCGGAGUGUAAAUCCGAGCGUAAAGCCGGCGAUACAUGAAGCGUAAACUCUCGUAUAAACUCAGAAUGUAAUGCCAAAAAGUUUACGCUUCGUGUGGCAGGCAUAAUCGCAUAAAAGUUUAUACCGAAACGUCAACUGCAAUUACAUUCGAGCACCUGCAAUUACACUAUGCUAUUACAUCCACUACAUGUGUUUUUGGCCACAAAAAAUAUGAAUCGACGAGAUAAGUUGAUUUCUGAACAUCUUUUUAUAUAUUUUAAGAUGUUUUUACUGUAUAUUAGCGAUUGUAGAACAUUCAAUUCAUCAUAACGCUACGCUUCAUGUUGGUGUUGAGUUUACGCUUGCUUUUACACUCGGAUUUACGCUCCGCGGGCCUAUAAUCUUUUUGACAUAAGUAUAAUCUUUUUGGCAUUACACUCUUAGUUUAUACGAGAGUUUACGCUUCGUGUAUUCCUACCUUUACGGAUUUCUUACUUCUCAAGGUAGGAAUACACGAAGCGUAAACUCUCGUAUAAACUGAGAGUGUAAUGCCAAAAAGAUUAUACUUAUGUCAAAAAGAUUAUAGGCCGGCGGAGCGUAAAUCCGAGCGUAAAAGCAAGCGUAAACACAGCACCAACAUGAAGCGUAGCGUUAUGAUGAAUUGAAUGUUCUACAAUCGCUAAUAUACAGUAAAAACAUCUGAAAAUAUAUAAAAAGAUGUUCAGAAAUCAACUUAUCUCGUCGAUUUAUGUUUUUUGUGGCCAGAAACACAUGUAAUUGAUGUAAUAGCAUAGUGUAAUUGCAGGUGCCCGAAUGUAAUUGCAUUUGACGUUUCGGUAUAAACUUUUAUGCGAUUAUGCCUGCCACACGAAGCGUAAACUUUUUGGCAUUACAUUCUGAGUUUAUACGAGAGUUUACGCUUCAUGUAUCGCCGG